CUCCCUGCAGCAUUUUUAGAAGGUACCAAAUAAGAAAAACGUGGAUGAAGAUGGAGAAAGCAUACAAAACUUUUACACACUGGUUUGAAGGGCAAGCCGUUGUACAUUCCUUGAAGUCAGGUGCUCUGCUCAACAGAAGGUGUGCUGAAUAACGUUACAGGCUCUGUUCCCGGGAGACGUGGAAGCUGUCACCGCGCGGAACAUAAAGAACAGGCCAAGACCAGUGCAGGCAUCGACGACUUUCUCCAUUCAGAGCCUCCGCGCAUCCCAAAUAAAUAAACACAUCAAAACGUGCAAA
RNAcentral lists this long non-coding RNA (298 nucleotides) under Homo sapiens (human). RNAcentral's name for it is "non-protein coding lnc-ADARB2-4:6". The record is from RNAcentral. Lineage: Eukaryota; Metazoa; Chordata; Mammalia; Primates; Hominidae.